UCCAUGUUAGCUCAGCUGGUAGAGCGCUCCAUUUGUAAUGGAGAGUUCCCGGGUUCGAUAACAGGACCAGGCG
This is a non-coding RNA of Ixodes scapularis (black-legged tick), 73 nucleotides long. The record is from Rfam. NCBI's taxonomy places the organism in Eukaryota, Metazoa, Arthropoda, Arachnida, Ixodida, Ixodidae.